This 756-nucleotide ribosomal RNA is filed under the name Clostridioides difficile. Its description in RNAcentral is "partial 23S ribosomal RNA". It matches the Rfam family "Bacterial large subunit ribosomal RNA", at positions 683 to 1447 of the family's 2925-position model. The record is from RNAcentral. Lineage: Bacteria; Bacillati; Bacillota; Clostridia; Peptostreptococcales; Peptostreptococcaceae.
UUUAACUGAGCGUUCAGUUACUUGACGUAGACCCGAAACCGGGCGACCUACCCAUGAGCAGGAUGAAGCGAAAGUAAAAUUUCGUGGAGGUCCGAACCCACGAGCGUUGAAAAGCUCGGGGAUGACUUGUGGGUAGCGGUGAAAUUCCAAUCGAGCCCGGAGAUAGCUGGUUCUCCCCGAAAUAGCUUUAGGGCUAGCCUCAAGGUGAGAGAUACGGAGGUAGAGCACUGAAUGUCCUAGGGGGUAUUGCACCUACCGAAGACUAUCAAACUCCGAAUGCCGUCAUCUUAUACUUGGGAGUCAGACUGUGGGUGAUAAGAUUCAUAGUCGAAAGGGCAACAGCCCAGAUCGUCAGCUAAGGUCCCUAAAUGUAAGUUAAGUGGUAAAGGAUGUGGGAUUGCACAGACAACCAGGAUGUUGGCUUAGAAGCAGCCACUCAUUCAAAGAGUGCGUAAUAGCUCACUGGUCGAGUGAUCCUGCGCCGAAGAUUUCCGGGGCUAAAACUUACUACCGAAGCUACGGCAUCAGUAAUGAUGGGUAGGGGAGCUUCCCAUACGGGUUGAAGCAUGACCGUAAGGACAUGUGGACAGUAUGGGAGUGAGAAUGUUGGCAUGAGUAGCGAGAUGUGGGUGAGAAUCCCACAGGCCGUAAACCCAAGGUUUCCAGGGGAAGGUUCGUCCGCCCUGGGUUAGUCGGGACCUAAGCUGAGGCCGAAAGGCGUAGGUGAUGGACAACAGGUUGAUAUUCCUGUACUAC